Molecule: RNA transcript, 3115 nt
Organism: Raphanus sativus (radish)
Lineage: Eukaryota; Viridiplantae; Streptophyta; Magnoliopsida; Brassicales; Brassicaceae
Exons: 6
Source: RefSeq, a predicted model, not a curated record
CAUUGAUGUAAUGAAAAAAAAGCUCGCCGGAAAAAACAAAGAAAAGCAUGAACCUUUACGACGACGAGUCCCUGAAACAGGAGGUAAUCUACCUCCACUCCCUCUGGCACCAAGGCCCUCCGACCCGUAACCCCAUCCCCACCCCCAAUUUCAACCCGGCCCACAGGUCCAGGCCCAACUACAUCCCUCCCGCCGAUUUUCAGCUCCUCUCCCGCUACGCCGGUCCUCACAUCGCUUCGAGAAACCCUAAACGCCCCAGACCCGGGUCGGAUCGCGAAUGGCCCGUCUACGACCCGUCUCCCAAUCCCGCCACGGGAUGGCCCGAACCCGCCAAACCGUCCAAAAAGGCCCGACCUUUAUCAGAUUCCGAGAAAGCUAAGCUCGCCGCGAGUCAGAUCCAGAGAGACGCCCACCGCGCUUGCCGCGAGUUCUUCGGCAAAGAAUCAGAAUCGGAUGCUGACGAUGGAGAGGAGGAGUUAAGGUUCUUGUCGGGAGUGUUCGAGGAGAACGCGAAGCUGAAGGAGUGUUACGAGAAGAACACUGUGCACGGAGAGGUGUGGUGUCUCGUCUGCGGUGGGAGCGGUGAGAAGAGCGUGAGGAGGUUUAAGAACUGUUUGGCUUUGGUUCAGCACUCGCUUGCGAUUCACAAGACUAUGAAGAAUCAGCACAGGGCUCUGGCGCAGGUUGUGUGUAGUGUUCUUGGUUGGGAUGUUAACAAUCCGGUUGCUUCCAGCCAAAAGGACUCUCAUCAGGCAUUGGGGGUAGAGGCGGUUGCAGAAGGUGGAACCGAGUUGCCUCCAGACGCAAAGAAGCCUCAAGAGAAACAACAUGUGAUGUCUGCCGAUGAACAAGCAAAGGCCGUUGUGUUACAAAUGCAGCUAAAUGCAUCAGAAGCUUUGAAAGGCAUUUCUGCCAAGGAUACUACUACUGGUUCAGCUGAUGAAAUUGUGGAGUUGGAAUUGAUAUCUCGGCUCUUCUCGGAAAACGUUGAGCUCAAGAGUUACUACGAGGAGAACGGUGAAGGUGGACACUUUGUCUGCCUGGUGUGUAGUGCUGCGACUGAUAAGAAGAUGAUGAAGAGGUUCAAACACUGUCAUGGACUUGCUCUGCAUUGUACUAAAACCCCGAAAAUCGCAAUAAGAGCUCACAAGGCUUAUGCUCGGUUUGUAUGUGGACUAUUUGGGUGGGAGUCUGAUCAUCUUCCACGCAGAGUAGUGAAAGGCGGCGCUCCUCUUGUGGAGGAGUCUAGUGCUGACCAGAACAAUGAGAAGCCAUCGUUGAUGAUCGAGGAGGAUGCAAGCACAACCAAUAACAUAUUGUCCUCCUCUUCUGGGAAUUCAAUUUAAAAGAGUCAAAAGAUUAUGUUAAUGGAGGGGGCACUGAAUCUUCAGGAAAAGGCUAGCAAGAGAAAAACAGAGACAGUGACUCUGCAAAUUCAGAUCAAAAAUUGGGAGAGAAGAAGGUUUCAAAGAAGAUGAAUAUCGCCAUUAUACAUCCAGAUCUUGGUAUAGGCAUCUUUCAAGUUACGGUGUAUGGUUCUUUCCUGCCACGUCAUAUUUUCUACCGUCUGCAUGCAGUUUGUGCGUACUUGAGGUGCUUAUCUGUUGCUCUUUGUGUUCUCUUGGGAUGGUCUUCCUUCGAUGUGGUACUAGCAGACGAGCUUUCAGUCAAAAGAUCUUCAAAGGUUUUACUGUCUGCGUUCCAUUGUUUUAGGAGGGUAUGACGAACGAUUGAAAGAGAAUGUAGACUACUUAGAAGAGCUCAAAAACCUUAGCAGAGAAAGAAGGAAUUUUCUGCUCGAGUCAACUUCAUUACAUCUUGUUUAACCGCUGAAAGAAACGAACUUCUCUCAAGCUACACACCAACGGUAAUCAUCUGAGACUAGACUAAGACCGGACCGCAAGUGAAUCAAGACACUGAGAGUCAGAAAGAAUCUUCUUCUAGAACAAAACACAUAACUUUGACUAACGCUAACCUACGCGCAAGGAACACGUUAGCAAAGCAAUAGCUUCCCGGGAAGGCUCCGGCGCAUGUUAGAUCAUGUUCCGACACUAGUUUAAAAGACAAAAAAGGUAAGAUCCAAAAAACCGAACCUUGCGAUAAGUAGUACCAUCAGGUUCAACGAUCCAACCAGCUUCGUUACAGAGAGCUUUAAGCACUUCGUUGUUGUCACAAUGCUUGGGAAGCUCGUAGUUACCGUACAUUCUCAACCCGGUGAAGAUCUUCGCCGCGAUCGCUCUCCUCCUUCUCUCUCUCCUCUUGUUGUUCUCUCUCUCCCUCCACGUCGGCAUCCUCGUCCCUGACGUCAUCGAUCACUCUCUUUUUUUUCCUCCUCUUGUUUUUUAAAGAUAGAUCAAAUAGACAAUUCUCAAGGCUUAGCUCGUAAACUUUCUCUGAAACAAACACUCUCAGAUCUGACAAGAUGGAAACUUGCGCGUGCUCAGGCAAUCUCCGAUCAACUUGAACGGUGGUUGAAUUUUCCGGUGAUCGGAGGAAGUGGAGAAGAAGGAGCUUAAGCUAAUCAAGAACUUGUCUCGUGCCAAAGAAGAAGCUGUUUAUUAGUACUUCCAUAUAAGGCUAGAUUACCCAAUUUCCCCCGGAUAUGACCAUAUAUUUACGAAACUGCCACUACGUGAUGUCACGCGUGUCCUCCGGACCUAGCACGUGGGAACAAAUCUCUUUUUUUACCCACGGUUAAACCGUAAUAUUUACGAAAAUACCACGAGGCCGUUUUCGAUGACCUUUGGAACUUGGAAGUUUCCUUUUUCACGUGAUGGUGUGACCAUGUAGGGACACCAGUCACGCCACUCAAUUGCAAAGAUGGCUCGGUAGUCUCACGUGGCCGCGGGGCUUGUUGUGUGUGUCACCCACGUUUGUCUCUCUUAUCAUCAGAACCUUCUCUCUGUGUGUGUUCAAACUGGUUGUUGUUUCUGUCCAACAUGAAUGAGAUUCAGCAAAGAGACAGAACUUGCCUGAUGAUCAUCGGCGUUACAGACAAGACACAGAUAACUGUCUUUUUUUACAUUUUAUAGAAAAAAAUAUCUAUAUAAAUAUCGUGUAAUUACAAAAACUUAUAGUUAUUAUUGUAAAUAAAAUCAUCAUGAUAUAUUACUAA